This 301-nucleotide ribosomal RNA is filed under the name uncultured bacterium. RNAcentral's name for it is "partial 16S ribosomal RNA". It matches the Rfam family "Bacterial small subunit ribosomal RNA", at positions 509 to 808 of the family's 1533-position model. The record is from RNAcentral.
CAGUAGCCGCGGGAAUACGUAGGUGGCAAGCGUUGUCCGGAAUUAUUGGGCGUAAAGCGCGCGCAGGCGGUUCCUUAAGUCUGAUGUGAAAGCCCCCGGCUUAACCGGGGAGGGUCAUUGGAAACUGGGAGACUUAGAGUGCAGAAGAGGAGAGUGGAAUUCCAUGUGUAGCGGUGAAAUGCGUAGAUAUAUGGAGGAACACCAGUGGCGAAGGCGACUCUCUGGUCUGUAACUGACGCUGAGGCGCGAAAGCGUGGGGAGCAAACAGGAUUAGAUACCCGUGUAGUCCCUGUCUCUUAUU